AUGGCUGGGAUGGCAUCACGCUGCGAAGGCAAGACAACCGGCGACAAAGGCUACUGUAGUGUGAUUUAUUCACCCUAUCCACAGUCGUCGCCUCUUCCUCCUCGCCUGGCCGACCUGUUCCAACACUUUGGUCUGGACAAGAUCCGCGCGAUCGAAAUGAGUGCUUUCGAACGUGCUCGUGAUGUAUUCUACAUCGUCGAGGGCGAGGAUGGCGACGAGGACGACGAAGGCGACGAGGACGACGACGUGGAUGUGGACGAGUCGGAUAGAAAGCUCUUAGAUGAUGAAAAGAAACCCGAUAUCACGAAACGACCACACACUCCUAUUGGAGAUGAGGUGGAAUGCAAGAAGCCAAAGAUAGCAGAAGGCUCAAGGUGCCAAGGAGAAGAACCUGAGGCUGGAGGGAUAAAGAAUUCCUCCUGCUCCCUCGCUCUCUCUCUCGCCCGGCCGAACACCACCGUCGCCGCCGUUCGCCUUAGCCGCUGA
RNAcentral lists this ribosomal RNA (486 nucleotides) under Triticum aestivum (bread wheat). RNAcentral's name for it is "partial small subunit ribosomal RNA". Lineage: Eukaryota; Viridiplantae; Streptophyta; Magnoliopsida; Poales; Poaceae. The record is from RNAcentral.